This 4116-nucleotide long non-coding RNA is filed under the name Carassius auratus (goldfish). RNAcentral describes it as "lncRNA (ENSCARG00000018126.1)". Lineage: Eukaryota; Metazoa; Chordata; Actinopteri; Cypriniformes; Cyprinidae. The record is from RNAcentral.
GUUGUUGGCUUCAAUAUGAUUUGGCAGUGUAAGUUGUGUUCAGCUUCUUCUACUGAACGACUGCAAAUAUUUAAGCACUACAGACUGCAGCAUAGCCACUUUUCCAGUGUAUGCCCCCUUCCAUGCAUCUACAAUUAUUGCAUGUGUACAUUUAAGACUUUUAAUAGUCUUAGAACUCAUUUGGCAAGAUGUCACACUCACCAAUUUGGCAGUAGUGCAGAACACUGUCAGCAGUCUCUGUUGUUUAAAUGCCCUUUAUGCCCAUUUCAGCAGCAUUUUUCUGAAUCUGUUGUCUUCUGCCAUCUUAGAAGGCAUUUAAGAAAUCAUGAAACAGUGGCUUGCCCAUAUAAGGAUUGCAGCUUUACCACUAAUGUGUACUCUACAUUCAAUUCUCAUAAAAGUAGAUCACACCAAGCAAGUGUUUCGUCAGACUUUAAAAAUGACAUUGUCAGUGAAGUUGCUCAACCCAGUAUUCCUGCAGUUGAUGGUGAUUUGAAUGAAGAACCUUCAGGUAUAGAUGAGGAUCCAUUGGGGGAUGAUGGUGUGUGUGACACUGACAAACUAAAACAAGAUCUCAGAAUGAAUUUAUCUUCCUUAUUUCUAAAGAUGCAGGCAAUCCUCCAUGUCUCAAACACAGCUACCCAGGAAAUAGUGGAGCAUUUAAAUCAGGUCUGCUUCUUAUCGCAGCCUUUGAUCAAGAAGGAAAUUCAAGAUAUAUUGCAGAGAAAUGGUUGCAAUUUGGCAGAAUCUGCACUGGAUGAGGUUGUAAGUGGAGUUAUGGACUCUAAUGUUAUAUUUACUAGUACUUCUAAUUGUGCAGAGUUAUCCACAUCGAAGCGCAGAAAAAUCUUUUUUGAGCACAACUAUCCAUGUGUAAUGCCAAUUGAGUAUCAGCUGGAGCAACUUGGACAUUCCAAAAUGUAUGUUCCUAUCCUUCGAAUGAUUCAGGAGUUGUUUAAGAACACAGACAUUCUAAAAAUAAUUACUGAUCCAAAUACCAAUUCUGGUCAAUAUGCAUCAUGUUGCAAUGGCUCUUAUUUCCUUGAAAAUGAAUUAUUUUCAACCGGUGAUCUCAUUUUACCCCUCCAGCUAUAUAUUGAUGAUCUUGAAAUUGCCAACCCACUUGGCACAUCACGUAAAAUUCACAAACUUUGUGCUGUUUACUGGGCAUUUGCCAAUAUGCCACCAAAACACAGAUCAACUUUACACAAUAUACAGCUAGCAUUGCUUGCAAAAGUGACAGACAUCCAUAAGCAUGGGUAUGCAGCUGUACUUGCUCCAUUAUUACGUGAUGUUCAUAUUCUUGAACAGGAUGGUGUCUUUAUUGAAAGAGCUGGUCGCAAUGUCAAAGGUACCAUCUUUUGUGUUUCUGCUGACAAUCUAGCCGCCCAUGGAUUAAGUGGCUUUGUGGAGUCAUUUAAAGAAGGCUAUGUUUGCAGAUUCUGCUUGGCCACAAGAGAACAGUUUAAAGCAACUGAAGCCAGGCAGUUUUCUCAAAGAACCAAAGACAGCCAUGACCUUCAUGUACAAAACCUUCUGGAAAGUGACACUUGCUCCAACCACUUUGGUGUUAAAGCUAGUUGUGUCUUGCGUGACUCCCUGGAUUACUUUCAUCCAAUCACAGGCUUUCCUCCAGAUGUACUUCAUGAUCUUCUGGAAGGAAUAGUUCCUGUGGAGCUUUCUCUCUGCAUUAAGACUAUGAUCCGGAUGAAGUACUUCACUUUAGAGUAUUUGAACCAAAAGAUUGCAUCAUUCCCAUAUCAGCACACUGAUAAAGUGGAUAGACCUCAUCCAAUUCCCAAAACAUUUUUGUCUCGAGGAACGAUAGGAGGGAAUGGACAUGAAAAUGCUACUCUGCUCCGACUGCUUCCAUUACUUGUAGGCAGUGUAGUACCAGAAGGUGAUGGUGCAUGGACAGUUUUGAUGGAACUGAAAGAGGUAGUGCAGUUAGCAUUAUGCCCAUCAUUUACUGAUGAAACCUUAGACUAUUUUCAGUCCAAAAUCAGUGAUCAUAAGCAAGUACUUCUGCAAACGUUCCCAGAGUUUAACCUUCGUCCUAAACAUCACUACGUGGAGCAUUACCCCACCAUGAUCAAGUGCUUUGGGCCCCUGGUGCAUGUUUGGACAAUGCGAUUUGAGGCCAAACACCGUUUUUUUAAACGAGUGGUGCAUGACGCUCAAAACUUCAAAAAUAUUUUGAAGACAAUGGCAGUCAGACACCAACACAUGAUGGCAUACAAUCUUGCUGCCCCUUCAUUUUUCAACCCUGAAACACAAGCGUCCAGUGUUGACUCUGUUCUGGUUUCAGCUCUACCAGAAGUAGCUCAGCUGCACAUCAGAAGACUAACAACUAGUGACACAAUAUACCAGACAUCAAAGGUUACCAUCAAUGGCACAGACUAUGUCUGUGGAAUGUUUUUGUCUGUCGGAGAGAGUGGUGGACUACCUAGGUUUUGCAGAGUAGAACACAUUUACCUUGUCAAUAGCACCAUUUCAUUCCUUUGUUCUGAUUGUGAGUCCUGGUUUUCAGAACAUCUUGGAUCCUAUGAGCUCUCACCUUCACAGACAAGUCUGUCAAUCCACCUAAGGUCUGACUUAAACGAUUCAGUCCCUCUCUCUGCAUACGAGGUAGAAGGCUCGCUUCUGUUGACACCCAAGAGAUUCAUACAAAUAAAACAAGCCAGUGCAUAAUGGCAGCUUUAUCUCCACAAGCCAUGAUCCUUCGUGUUGUUGAGCCAGACCGGGCUAGAAAAUUAAAACUUAGUUCACGACCAGCCUCUGUUGAUGCACUGAUUGCUGUUAUAAAAGAACAGCUGGAAAUAGACCUUGACUUCAGUUUAAAAUAUGAAGACCCUGACUUUGAUGGAAAACUUACUUCCCUCUCUGACAUUGAUGAGUUGCCACAGAAAGCUGUUGUGCAUGUGUCAUUUGAGCAAGAUUCCAGCUCUGUUGCAUCAACAGAAACAAUGUCAAGUGUAUCAUCCUCAGAACGUGGGAGAAGAUGGCCUUCACAUAUUUUUCCAAUUCCCACAUUUUCUUUUGACGUUGAACUGAGACUUCGGGAAGGUAAUGCCGAAUUUGAGAAGAACAACAAGCAACUUCAGUUAACUAGAGACAUAAAACAUGACAUUUUAGAAAAGCUAGCAUCUGUGAUGUAUGGCUACAAGGCUUAUCCCAGUGAUAAGGAGAUAGCAAUGGUAGCUGAGGCUCUUGUGGUAAAACAUCCUUGCUUGAAAGAAGCAGGAUCUCAGACUGGCUGGAAUGGGUGGAAAAAUAGCCUCAAAUUUAAGAUGGGGAACUAUAGGAGCAAGAUGAGAAGGGCUGGAUGUCCAGAGAUCACUGUAAAUGCUGGAAAAAGGAGUGCAAUGAAUCCUGACAAUGAAUCUUCACAUUCAAAUAUUAAAAGACCCAAACGAGCAGAAGUAAACUUUUUGCCCAACUUUCCCCAAGGAGAAAAUCCCUCAACUCUUGAACAGUUGAGACAGAAAAUUGUUGAUGAAAUGAAGAAAGCUGAGAAGAACUUACCACUUAUAAAAAAGAUGAUGCAAACCACCUUUGCUCUGCGGCGACAGACCAUAGUGAAGACAUGCCCACCAGUAAAAGAGCUCAUGGAACUCUGGCCUGCACUCAAAAUGGAAUCUGAGGUAAUGUGGGGUAACACUGUUUGUCCUGUUAUUGCUUUCUUGAUAACGUACCACAUUCAGGGGCUGUUUUCUGUGAGGGGGUAGUAGAUUAACCAGGUUCACAUAAUGAACAUGGCUGUGUUCUCUGUCUUUCAUUGUUUUAAAAUGUAGGUGUAAGCAGAGUUCCAACGGAUUACAAACGAGAACCUGCCCAACACAUUCUACUCUGAGCUUGACCGACAUCUUCCUAGACUGAUGACCCUGUUCAGACAGAAAGCAUCCAGAACCGGGAAGACAUCAGAUACUUUAACUGAAAUCCUAAGAAUCCAUGAUGACCAGGUAAAGAUAUUGUUGUACAUUUUUGUAGGCUAAAACUUAAUUAAAAUAUUAAAGUUUGAAAACAUUAGAAAAUGUUGAUGAUUCAAAUGAGCUUUGAACACUACAACUUGUCCUUUUUUUUUUUUUUUUUUUGUAUUUGCAUAUCUGAUUGUAU